Beta vulgaris subsp. vulgaris (sugar beet) is the source of this 1489-nucleotide RNA transcript. RefSeq lists it as hypothetical. The transcript is spliced from 4 exons. The record is from RefSeq and is a predicted model, not a curated record. NCBI's taxonomy places the organism in Eukaryota, Viridiplantae, Streptophyta, Magnoliopsida, Caryophyllales, Amaranthaceae.
ACUCUCAGAGAUCAGGGAAUCACGCCUCCACACCUAUUAACAAUACCAAAACAAAUUGAAAAAAUGGCUCCCAUCCCACCACCUCCCAACCUCAAUCUCACCUCACUUUCUCUCUCCUCUCUUCCUUCCCCAAUUUCACUCUCUUCUUCCGCCAUGGAAGACCUUCCAUUGCAGAAAAUCACAAUCUCAGGUCCAACUCUUUCUUCUCUCAUCAAUCGCUUAUCUUCUUCUCCAUCAAACAUUGAGGGUCUUCUCUUCGGAAAAUUCUCUCUCCAAACUCCACUUUCUCUUUCCGACGACUCUCCUUCUCCUUCCCCUGACUCUCUCGUCGCCACAAUCACCGGAUUCAUCUCCUCCGCUAACUCUUCCGGCGAUAUAUCCUCACUCCUCCACCGGAAUCACCACCGCCAAGUCAUAGGAUGGUUUUCCGGUCGCCGGAAAUCGCAUCUCCGGCCAUCUCUCCGUGAAUUCGCCGUCACUCAUUCUAUGUCCUCGGAUUCACCUCGGAUUUUCCUGAUCCUUACGACGCCGUUUCAGGAUUCUCAAACCCUAAUUCACACUCACGAUUAUAGGGUUUAUCAGUUUAGGAGAUCGGAUAAUUCGUUCGAAACGAUGUCGUUGGAUGUUGUUAACAUUGGUCCGGCGUUUCGAGGGCAUUAUAGUGCGUUUUCGCCGAAUUCGGAGCUUCCUUGUUUUCCGUGUGAGUUUCAAGGUGGGUCCCCCAUGAGGGAGGAUGAGAAGGAGAGAGAAAAUAUGAAUUUGAAAGAGAUGAAGAGAGUUGCCAAGGAUCAGAAGGAUUUGGGGGCGUAUGUGGAGGGGUAUGAGCUUGGGAGUUUGAGUAGAUUAAUGGGAGUUGAUGCUGUGAGUUAUAUGGGUGGAGUUGAGGAGUUGUAUGAGAAGAUGCUUGCUAAGCUUGAUUGUUUGGCGAGACAAGUCGAAAGCUCGUCUUCGAAAGUUCUUGAGAUGGAAAAUCACAACAUGAAGUUAAGGCACAGAGUUGCUGGGCUUGAAUGAUUGGGUGGUUGUGGAUAAAAUUGGGCAUAUUUUUGUUCUAGUUUCAGCUUCCGAGGGUACACAGCGUGCACAAAUAAAUAGGAGGGAUUGUUUCUCAUUCAAUGCUUGACGAGUAUAUAUGUAAAUUAUGUCCAACAGUGAAGGCUUUCCUGACCCUUAUCUUUUCCACGGAUCUUUGCUUCUCAGUUUGAAAGACUAACUUAAGCUGGAAAGGGCAGCUGUUUUGUAAAUGAAGCAUCAGCAUGCUGCCACUGCUUCUGAGAUGUGUGCUAGCGUUAUUGUGAUUGGACGAAACGACUGGCAGAUGUCUUGCUGUUGCAAUUUGACUGAAGGAAGCGUUGGUACUUUUUCUGUGGGUAUACAAGUGGAGAUUACAGUUUGUUUUUGAAAUGUACAGCCAUUGAGCUCAGAUACAGUAACAACUUUUUGCUAUCUGUGCCUUUGUCAAACUUGGAAUGGAACGCAACUUGUUAUA